AGUUUGAACCUCUGAAAUCUAUUUGACCUAUCCAGUAUUCAGGUCUAGAACAGACUGCUCAAUUUCUUUUCAAUCAUCACUAUCCUUUUCUUGAAUAUCAGACUGAUUGGUAUUCACAGCUUCACACACAUUCAGAGCUAAUAGCUAGCUCACUACAAUACACUAUUUUUUUUGCUUGUCCUUAUUGGUAUUUUUCCCCAACAUGUUCCUUUUAAUGAGGUUUGAUAAUAUUGAACAUUCUGUGAAAAUUACUAAUACAGAGUUAGAAAGAAAUAUACAGGUAUUAAAUAGGAAAAAGCCUUACUUACAGAGCAACCUAGCCAGCCGGCAUGGCAGCAGUAUGUAAGGCAAGUACAGAAGUGAAACUGAAAGAGAAAACACAGUCCCCUGGAAGUCUCACUCUAUAUUACCCUGACCAUGCCCUCGCAAGAGUGGUCAGGCACACCUGUAGCCAGCCCCUAAAUAGGUGAUGUUACAGCUUCUCCUACAAUUCCCCUUUUAGUCUAAAAGAGGAUUAAAACUUAACAGUGAAAAGUAUCCAAAAUUAACAAUCAUAAAGGUAAAUAUAAGAAAAUACAACAAUCUGCUUAUGUCACAUCCUAACUAUCUAUUUUAACUAAGCCCUAAAGUCAUCUGAAAGUGGUGUCCAAGCCUGAACACCUCCUUCCAAUCCCAACCAUAAACAAUAGGAAGCAAUCCCUAACUAGGUAUAUACACUAUCCUAAGUGACAACAAUGGGGAAAGGGGGCAUAGCAUCCUACAAGUUACUUCCUGCUGAAAUGGGAUGAUGAUAGUCAUGUGGGUUCCUGUAGGAAGAAAAUGUUAGUAUAGUGAAAAUCUUGAAUGGAUUGUAUAUAGUCCAUGUUAGAUGGGUUUCACUUGAUUGAAGAUCUCAAUUGAUCCCCAACUUGAUUGAAGUCAGUACCCGAACCUCUGGCCGGAGUGUCAGUUGAAAUGGAGCAAGUUGGAUCCAGUGCAGUGGAGGAGGUGUCUCCCAUUUUCUUUAGAGGGUGUCCAGGGAAUGCUGUCAGGCAGGUCUUCAUUGGCUGUGUGGGACUCAAACAUUAACAGUUAGCAGAGAAAUGUUUGCUUGUGGAUGUACAUGUGCUGGGGAGUACAAUCAUGAGACUAUAACAAUUAUGAGAGGGUGUACACCUUGAGGGAAAGAUCCAAGAAAAGACAGAGAAAGUCCCCAAAUUCUUCUUUUAUUCUGUAUUACAUCAUUGGCUUCUUGAUACAAUACAGAAACUCUAAAGUUUAGUUAAAUAAUGUGCUUCGAUUUUAGAGGAGGAAAGCCAAGUCCACCUCUAAAUCCAGCAUUGAUUUAAUUGAAGAGGGACUAGGAAAGAAAGAGAAAUAGAGUUCUCUGAGAGACAGCUGUAAAGUUUACCAUAU
Molecule: long non-coding RNA, 1395 nt
Filed under: Cricetulus griseus (Chinese hamster)
Lineage: Eukaryota; Metazoa; Chordata; Mammalia; Rodentia; Cricetidae
Description: lncRNA (ENSCGRG00015042447.1)
Source: RNAcentral